This is an RNA transcript of Rhododendron vialii, 5006 nucleotides long. It is a transcript of the gene named F-box/LRR-repeat protein 25-like, with no coding region annotated. NCBI's taxonomy places the organism in Eukaryota, Viridiplantae, Streptophyta, Magnoliopsida, Ericales, Ericaceae. The record is from RefSeq and is a predicted model, not a curated record. The transcript has 3 exons.
GAUGUAGGUCAGCAGAGCGUAGAAGAGGUUGAGAGAAUGAAAAUGUGGAAUGACGUACAAUUGAGGAGCAUGGGAGCAUAAAUCGAGAGCGAGGGCCAAGAUACCCGGGAUUCCGUGACCAGGCGUGCAGGGAUUGAUCGUUCGGAGCAGCUCUGAAGAUAUGGGUAGUAAGAGGCAUCGGAAGAAGAAAAUGAAACUAAUCGGCGGUGAAGGAGAAGAAGAAGACAGAAUCAGCAGAUUACCCGACUCCAUUCUUCACCGAAUCCUCUCCUCCAUCGACACAACAUCCUUCAUUCCGAUCUUCGUCCAAAUCCUCUCCUCCAUCGACACCAGAUCCGUCAUUCAGACCUCCGUUCUGUCAAAGAGAUGGAGGUACCUUUGGACUUCGGUACCGAAUAUACACUUGGAUUACGACGAAUUUCCCGGUCCAAAUAAGUGCGAGACCAAAGUGCGUCGAUUCACGCAUUUUGUGAACCAGGUCUUGUCUCUCAGAGACGCCUCAAAUGUGCUCCGAUUCACCUUACAUUCUUCUUCUAAUGUAUUGGAUCCAGUCCUCGUAAAAAACUGCAUAUGCUAUGCAUUUCGGCACAAUGUUCGAGAAUUGUUUCUGUGGCCCGAGUGCGAUGUGGAUCUGCAGCACAUGGAAUUUCCCGGCUGCAUAUCCGAAGCUCUUGGAAUUUCCUCUAGUUCUCUUAUAAGCCUUAGGUUGGCGUGUCAUGACUUUAGUAUGCCACCCGACAAACCGUUGCAGUUGCCUGCGUUAAAGACUCUGCAUCUCGCCGGUUGCUGGUAUGAUUAUGCCGGAUUCAUAACUGAGACUGUUGGCAUCUGUACGAACUUGGAAACACUGAUUUUGGAUGACUUAGAGCUGAAAAGUUUGAAUAUCACUGCUCCUAAUCUUAGAAAACUGGAAUUAGAAUAUGAAGAUGACAGCUGCAGCGAAUCGAUGAUUGCGGUAUCAGCACCCCGACUGACAUCGUUCAAGUUGCAAGGAAACGUUUUGCCUGUCUUUUCUGCCGCGAGUCUCCCUUGUCUUCAGAAUGUACACGUGAACCUGUAUAGAGGGAGGAUUUAUGAGGAAUUAGAUGCAGAUAUCUUGCAGAGGAUACCCCUCAAUGUGAUGAAGAUGCUUGAACAGCUUGGAGAAGCAAAUUCUCUUACAUUGUCAGUGGAAACCCUUGAGGGCCAGGUGGUGCUCCGGUUCGCAUCUGGCUAGGCCGCUAGGGUUCCUCCACCGAUUGCUUCCUGCAUGAUGAACACCCACCGUUAGUGCCUAACCAGUUGGAGUCGACUGGGAAGACACUCCAAGGGUUAAGUAAGUAUUUGGAGGAAGGAGAUAGGAAUGGAAACUCUAGGGUUAGAAUUAACGGCGCAUCUCUUAGGGUUUAUCCUUGUACCUUAUAUAGAACCUCCAAACUUGCCCUCCAAGUAAGUACGUGUUUGGCACACGAGGUAACUGCUCCGGAUGAUGUCAGUUAUGACAUAUGGACCAAGCAGUUAUGUCCACGUGCACAAACUACCUUUUCGUAAAUUAUGUGGGUCGUAACGGUCAGACCCGGGUUGGUCAUACCCUAUGUGUACUAUUCGGGUAUGGAUCCCUGAUUGUGAAUGGAACAUGAUCCAACCGAGCGAUGUACCUUAGCCUUGGACUGAGAGUCCUCGGCCACAGACGGAUACAUCAAGAAGUGCUGAGCACCCAAAGACCUGCGUCCACCGAGCCUUCAAGGACACGCGGCUCGGGCCACGAGUCCCUUGGAUAUUCGGCCCUUUACAAUACCGUUUCUGAGGUUGAUGUUACAUGAUAUACUUUAGUGUCCACGUCAUUAGGUUGAGCUAGCAUAACUUCUGGCCUUUGAGGAUAAUGGUACUUUUUUUGUGUGAUAAUAAUAUUGGUGGUUGACUCAUACUUCGUGAUUCUGAUGGCCUUGUUAUAUGAGGAGAGUUGGGUGUUGAGAUUUUAAUGAUGAUCCUAUAUGGUUUUUGAAGAUCUAGAGGGUCUUGGAGAUCAUGUUAUUUUGCGGGAAAAUCAACAUUGAUUCUUGUUAGUCCCCCUUUUUUAAAAUUCUCUCUUGUUAGAAUGAACAAACAAAACGCACGAUGCACGUCACCAAUUUUGGAUGGUGCUUGAGAGUUCAGACCUUCACAACUAGUCAAGUCAAGAAAGAAGGUAGUAGAAUACACAUGUGGUGCCUGUAUUUUCACCCAUGUUCCACCUAUACAAAGAAGAAUGCAAACUUCAUGAUUUUUUGUCUUCAAGCAUCACAAUCCCUUGAUCUUGAAAAACCAUAAUCACCAUCGUCAUUCUCAUCAAAAUUUGAUUCCUUCAUAACUUGGUCCCUCCUAGGCAUGAUAAAAGCUCCACUUGGUAUCCAUGUUCCUGUAUCCGAAUUGCACCAUGAGCAGAAGUCACAACCUUAAGUCAAUUGUGUAUGAACAUCCAUUUGCCAUGUGGUCCGCAAUGUCAUCUCCAUCUGCAAUAGUUAGCAAACACGUGUAAUUGUCAUGUCAAGACGAGCAGAGUACGCCUAGAUUAUGACCUUAGAAAGCUACACUAUGCACAAUUUAUGGAACUAUCUUGCUUGAUUCCUCGAUUCAUCUAAAUGUUACUAUGACUUUGUCUCAUGAACUUGGGUUGCAAUAAAAAAAGUAACUUGUUUUCCUAAAUUUGGUUACAUAGUACUAUCGAUUUUCAAAUGUGGCAUAACCUUAGGAGUAGUUGGCCUACCUUCGGGAGUUAGGAUUGUAAAUGCUAUUCAAGGGAAUGUUAGCCUUGGGAAAUUUCUAAAUCAAAUGAUGAGUCUAUCCCUAGGUCUGACAUGUUCGUAAUAGUCCUAUACCACCCCACUAUAAUGUCCAACAGCAUACUUAGUAAUAUCUACGUGCAACAUUAGAAACUUUUUAUUUCCUCUGAUCUAUUUUCACAGCAGCUUAGUUUUUUUGUUAUUGAGUGCCACUUUUUUAUAACAGGAAUCCAUUAUUUGUCUUUUAGUGUCCAAAAUACACACAGCUUGAUUUCUAGAUCACAGGCAUUGGAGUGUGGUUAUCAAAAUAUGGAGUACUGAAAUCAUUUCCCUAUUUUUUUAGUCCAUGAUCAAGAUUAAUUGUCUGUCUUGUUUGUGAUUGAUAAGGUUCUUGCAAUGGAUCCUGAUUCUCUUAACAAUCGUCCUUCUCCAUUUUGUAAGUUGAAGCACCUAAAGUUCUUACCACCUUAUUGUCCUACCUUAAAUCUUCCGUUAAAUGCAAUUAACUACUUGACUAAAGGUUCCUCUCGUGGCAAGUUGGUUGUGGAGUUCCCUCAGGUAAUAAUCCUUCUCCUUUUCUAUUCCUUGCUUAUCAUCUAAGAGCUACUAAUGAUCUAAUCUUUGCUCCCUUUUUCAGUGCUUAGGUAAAUGGAGAUAGUGACGUGAAAAAUGGUAAGUGUGAAGCACUCUUACCAUAUUUGUCAUUUUUGUUGAUCUUGAUCUUGUGCUUGUGGUUUUUGUUUCUUAAUUUUCAAUCUAUCUUCUUUUGUAUUACUUGUAUUUUGUAUGUACGUAUUUCAAGUAAAUUUGAAAACUACAAGACUGGUGUGCCUAACAAAGUAGGUUUUGUUGAGAGGACAACCGCAUUAGAUUCCAUUCUUGCCAUUGAUUAUUCGAAAGGAAGGCUGUUCUUUUGCCUCAUUGGUGUGCAUUUGUAACAGGGGAUGAGACAGUGGAGCAUGUCUUGCUUGAUUGUGAAGCGGACAUGAAUUAUCUUUUUCUAUUUUUCUGUUUUGUGCAAAAGUCGGUUUUUGCCGGCUUAAAUAAUACAGUUGAUUUUGUUGGUCUUCUGCUUGCCAUGCACGCAUAUCCAAAAGGCUUGGAGAAUGUCACACCUUUGGUCUACGUGGUGCUUGUAGAGAAAAAGGAAUAAAAGGACUCGAGGUCGCUGCAUCAUAUUCAGUAUAUGAGCUAGCCAGCUAAGUUGACUCAGCUCCAGUAGAUAGAUAUAUAAAGAUGGGUACACAGACUUAAUGCGUGGUUUCUGAGAUUACUGACGAUCUUUGUGUUUCAUCACUCUCCAAGUUCUUGAUGUAAUUGGUGACAACCUUUUGGCGGCUUUGAUGAAAUGCUCCAGAACAUCAACAGAGGCGCCUAUCAGAAAGGUAAACCAACAAAACAUAGAGAGAACAUUUCUUUCCCCUAACUGACCUUAAAGCAAGCCACCUUCAAAAACUCAUUCAAGACCUCCUUGAUGCCCACCCUUUCAAAGGAUCACCCCUGUGCAACAUUGACCCCUCGUAAGAUGUUCAAUUACUCCACGAAGCUCUUUACUUGAAGAAAAACCAGCCCCCUAUAUCAACACCCUCUCUCUCUCCCCUUUGUUUAAGAUGCUUAGUCUCUUCACCCUAAUAGGUUGCACAUUGUAUCUCAAUCCCCACGAAUACAUUGAACUUAUGAAACUAUGCUUGCCAAAGGAGUCCCUCUUCUUCUUCUCCAGAAUCCUAACCACCUAGACUAGAAUCGCAUGUAAGGACAUAAAGUAAGUAGGGAGACUUGUUCAGUAUUCUUAAUGAGGGUUAACCUCCGCCCUUCAACUGAAAUUGCCAUCUCCGGUCCACUUUCACCAACUGAUUCUGUAAGUGCUCCACCACUCUAUCUCAUCCCGCUAGGUAUAUUAGGUAAGAGAAGGAACUCUACCCUGUAAAAUGGAUGUCAAGCAGUCUGUUGGUGAGGACUUUAACGAUGUGAGCAGGUUGCUCAAAUGUGAUUCAAAGUAUUAAAUCCUUCCAGAGCCCUUAUUUUGGCAUGAAUGGACAUAAGCUGCUGGAAAAUCUUCCAAAAACCCUGUUGUAGUGUUAAGGUAGCUAUAAAUAGUUUUUCAGUGUAUGGACAGUUGCAGAUGGUGUUGUUAGUUUUUUGUUUUAAGCAUGGGGUUGGAACCAUGGGGGAUCUCAGAAAUGUUUGUUUUGGUUUGUAUGCAACAUCAUAUAAUGUUCUCGCGUAGUUUAUCGGGUUUUAUAUCAUAUGGGCACGAUUCGUUUA